This 341-nucleotide long non-coding RNA is filed under the name Bos taurus (domestic cattle). RNAcentral's name for it is "long non-coding RNA NONBTAT024159". The record is from RNAcentral. Lineage: Eukaryota; Metazoa; Chordata; Mammalia; Artiodactyla; Bovidae.
AUGAUUUGAAAGGAUAUUGUAGAAGCUUCAUCCAGGAACUUUAACAAAGGAUUUUUUUUUCUACUUAUUGAGCUUUAAGAAAAGGUACACUUUUUUCCUUUUCCAUUCAGUUUCUUAUUGUUUAACAUCCAAUUGAGUAAUUAAUGCCCCGAGGGAACUGUAUAAUAAAUAGUGUGUAUUUAUUUUGCAAAUGUUUAUUGUGCAUCUUCUAUGUUCAAAAACCUGCUAGGUUUAUGUAUAUACUUUUUAGAGUGUAAGGUCACAUCACUAUGUAUAUUAUUUUCUCCAGGAGUUUAUAUGUGAUUAUAAAUAGCCCAGCACAUACUAUUUCUUUUAGGAGC